This 200-nucleotide unclassified non-coding RNA is filed under the name Helvella sp. Its description in RNAcentral is "partial internal transcribed spacer 2". Lineage: Eukaryota; Fungi; Ascomycota; Pezizomycetes; Pezizales; Helvellaceae. The record is from RNAcentral.
UUAAGUUCAGCGGGUAUCCCUACCUGAUUCGAGGAGUUCACGUGUCUUGCUCUCCCCCGCCCGACAGACGGGCAAGGGCUGGCAGCCUCGCCGCGUGCGAGCGCCAAUGCGUCAUAUCACGCUCGGCAACGCGGCAGGCGUCCGCCCAUGUAUUCCAGCGCGGUGGCCGCCGCCUCGGGCACGCCACCGCCGCCACGACC